AAACCAUGCACCGAAGCUGCGGCAGCGACACUGUGUGUUGUUGGGUAGGGGAGCGUUCUGUAAGCCUGUGAAGGUGGCCUGUGAGGGUUGCUGGAGGUAUCAGAAGUGCGAAUGCUGACAUAAGUAACGAUAAAGCGGGUGAAAAGCCCGCUCGCCGGAAGACCAAGGGUUCCUGUCCAACGUUAAUCGGGGCAGGGUGAGUCGACCCCUAAGGCGAGGCCGAAAGGCGUAGUCGAUGGGAAACGGGUUAAUAUUCCCGUACUUGGUGUUACUGCGAAGGGGGGACGGAGAAGGCUAUGUUGGCCGGGCGACGGUUGUCCCGGUUUAAGCGUGUAGGUGUGUGUUCCAGGUAAAUCCGGUUCACUUUAACACUGAGGCGUGACGACGAGGCACUACGGUGCUGAAGCAACAAAUGCCCUGCUUCCAGGAAAAGCCUCUAAGCAUCAGGUAACAUCAAAUCGUACCCCAAACCGACACAGGUGGUCAGGUAGAGAAUACCAAGGCGCUUGAGAGAACUCGGGUGAAGGAACUAGGCAAAAUGGUGCCGUAACUUCGGGAGAAGGCACGCUGACACGUAGGUGAAGUGAUUUACUCACGGAGCUGAAGUCAGUCGAAGAUACCAGCUGGCUGCAACUGUUUAUUAAAAACACAGCACUGUGCAAACACGAAAGUGGACGUAUACGGUGUGACGCCUGCCCGGUGCCGGAAGGUUAAUUGAUGGGGUCAGCGCAAGCGAAGCUCCUGAUCGAAGCCCCGGUAAACGGCGGCCGUAACUAUAACGGUCCUAAGGUAGCGAAAUUCCUUGUCGGGUAAGUUCCGACCUGCACGAAUGGCGUAAUGAUGGCCAGGCUGUCUCCACCCGAGACUCAGUGAAAUUGAACUCGCUGUGAAGAUGCAGUGUACCCGCGGCAAGACGGAAAGACCCCGUGAACCUUUACUAUAGCUUGACACUGAACAUUGAGCCUUGAUGUGUAGGAUAGGUGGGAGGCUUUGAAGCGUGGACGCCAGUCUGCGUGGAGCCGACCUUGAAAUACCACCCUUUAAUGUUUGAUGUUCUAACGUGGACCCGUGAUCCGGGUUGCGGACAGUGUCUGGUGGGUAGUUUGACUGGGGCGGUCUCCUCCUAAAGAGUAACGGAGGAGCACGAAGGUUGGCUAAUCCUGGUCGGACAUCAGGAGGUUAGUGCAAUGGCAUAAGCCAGCUUGACUGCGAGCGUGACGGCGCGAGCAGGUGCGAAAGCAGGUCAUAGUGAUCCGGUGGUUCUGAAUGGAAGGGCCAUCGCUCAACGGAUAAAAGGUACUCCGGGGAUAACAGGCUGAUACCGCCCAAGAGUUCAUAUCGACGGCGGUGUUUGGCACCUCGAUGUCGGCUCAUCACAUCCUGGGGCUGAAGUAGGUCCCAAGGGUAUGGCUGUUCGCCAUUUAAAGUGGUACGCGAGCUGGGUUUAGAACGUCGUGAGACAGUUCGGUCCCUAUCUGCCGUGGGCGCUGGAGAACUGAGGGGGGCUGCUCCUAGUACGAGAGGACCGGAGUGGACGCAUCACUGGUGUUCGGGUUGUCAUGCCAAUGGCACUGCCCGGUAGCUAAAUGCGGAAGAGAUAAGUGCUGAAAGCAUCUAAGCACGAAACUUGCCCCGAG
Molecule: ribosomal RNA, 1637 nt
Filed under: Salmonella enterica
Lineage: Bacteria; Pseudomonadati; Pseudomonadota; Gammaproteobacteria; Enterobacterales; Enterobacteriaceae
Description: partial 23S ribosomal RNA
Rfam family: Bacterial large subunit ribosomal RNA
Source: RNAcentral